This 253-nucleotide ribosomal RNA is filed under the name uncultured bacterium. Its description in RNAcentral is "partial 16S ribosomal RNA". It matches the Rfam family "Bacterial small subunit ribosomal RNA", at positions 524 to 776 of the family's 1533-position model. The record is from RNAcentral.
UACGAAGGGGGCUAGCGUUGUUCGGAAUCACUGGGCGUAAAGGGCGCGUAGGCGGCUUGACAAGUCAGGUGUGAAAGCCCCGGGCUCAACCCGGGAAUUGCACUUGAUACUGUCUCGCUCGAGUCCGGGAGAGGAUGGCGGAAUUCCCAGUGUAGAGGUGAAAUUCGUAGAUAUUGGGAAGAACACCGGUGGCGAAGGCGGCCAUCUGGACCGGUACUGACGCUGAGGCGCGAAAGCGUGGGGAGCAAACAGG